Molecule: long non-coding RNA, 1126 nt
Organism: Mus musculus (house mouse)
Lineage: Eukaryota; Metazoa; Chordata; Mammalia; Rodentia; Muridae
Product: predicted gene, 33922
Exons: 2
Source: RefSeq, a predicted model, not a curated record
AACAAGGUUCAGCGCCAAACCCAUAACACAAGAUCGAAAUAACAUACUGAACACAGACAUACAUUCUAAGAACACACAACAGUGUAGCCCCAUUCAGUUUGAAGUUAGCAGGAUAAUUCAAGUCGCAGAGCUGUAAAGUCAAGCUUUGAAUAGCCCAGCAUAUCCUUUUCUUCUCAUGCAUGGUGCUUCAUUGAGGAUCUACUGACACAAUUUAACACUAAGACAAAUAAUAGGGAGCUUCUGCUAACAGCAUGGAGAACCACAAAAUGAUAAUGUUCAUUUAUCUCUUCAAUAAUAGCUCUAAAACAAAAUUACACUAAGAUCUAUAUAGGAGUACAUUACAAAUAUGUAAUAGCCUGAUAUGCUAGAAGAAUCCAAUCAAUGGUUUUAAAAACAAAUUCUUUGAGCUGGGAGAUGGCUAGAUGGAAAAUGCUUGAGAUAGAUAGAUAGAUAGAUAGAUAGAUAGAUAGAUAGAUAGAUAGAUAGAUAGAUAGAUAGAUAGAUAUAAACUUGUACUUAUAUAUGCUAAGGACCUUAGUUCAAAUCCUCAGAACACAUGAAAAGCUGAUCUAGGUAGGCCAGAUCCAUAACCCUUUUGCUCCCCCAGGGAGAAGAAGUUUGAAGGCCAGCUUGCCUGGUAUGUGCAACAGGAAGAACAAAAGAGACCUUGCCUCAACCAAAGCAGAAGGAGUCACGAAUGUGAUUGGACUCUGAACUCCUGUUUUUGUCUUCAAAGGAGGAAAUGAGAAACGGAAUCAGUUCUAGACCAAGCCUAAUAUGUCUCCUUAUAUAAGGCUUACCUCAGCUACUUCCAUGUUUACAGAAGAAGGGUGAAAUCAAAGACUGCCAUUAUAUUGCGUCCUGUCUUACUGGCCUAACAACUAAGGCUGCUAGCUUUUUACUAGUUUGCUCUCAGAACCCGGAUAUACUCUUCCAUAGCAGUGUGUUAGUGGGCUUGAAGUUAGUCUGGCAUGCCUUCACCCUUUUGUCAAUGAUAUUUUGUUUUCAGUGAAGAUUUGAAGCUGAAAACUACUUGUAGUAAAUAUAUAAACAGCUAAAUGGAAGAGAAAUUACACAUGUGCCCUGGAUAAUUAUUGCCUAUGCAAUAAAAAUAGAGCUGAGGACA